Molecule: ribosomal RNA, 912 nt
Filed under: Triticum aestivum (bread wheat)
Lineage: Eukaryota; Viridiplantae; Streptophyta; Magnoliopsida; Poales; Poaceae
Description: partial small subunit ribosomal RNA
Source: RNAcentral
AUGGAAUCGGAGCCGGCCGCGCUGCCCGACGACGCGCUCGCGGAGGUCCUCCGGCGUCUCCCGCCGCACAUCCUGGCCAAGGCCCGGCGGGUGUGCAAGGCGUGGCGCGACGCCGUCGACGGCCGCGUGCGCGGCAACCUGCUUCCGCGCUCGGUGCGUGGCAUCUUCAUCAACUUCGCCGCGAAUCACUACUCGGAGUUCUUCGCCCGCCCCUCCACGGGCCCGGCGAUCGACGGAGGGCUCGGUUUCCUGCCCUGCGCGGGCGUCACGGUCACGGGCCACUGCGACGGCCUUCUGCUUUGCCGCGAGUCGCGGGACGAUGCACCGCCGCGCGAGUACGUCGUCAACCCGGCCACGCGUCGGUGGGCGCGCUUGCCCAAACGACCCCCGCCGCACAUGCCAGGAUUCGAGCAGACCGCCUACCUCGCGUUCGAGGCCGCCGUGUCACCGCACUACCAGGUCUUUCUGAUCCCACGCGUGCCACUGCGACGACUGCCAGCCGACGGGGAAUCCGACGACGAGGACCCGUUGCUCCAGUCGGAGUGGCCUCCAACGUCAUACCUCAUCCAUGUGUUCUCGUCGGUGACUCAGCAAUGGGACGAGAUGACCUUCCUUCGGGAAGGGGAGGCUGCAGGGAUCGUCGCCAACAUGGAGUGGAAUUCUUGGUAUAAGCACUGUCGUUUUUAUGCCGUCUACUGGCAAAGCACGCUCUACAUCCAUUGCACGAAUGGCUAUCUUAUCGCCAAGGCCAAGCGUACAAGGGCAACUCCGGUGGCGUCUUGUGCUCCUAGCGCUCGCGCCAAGGCCAAGCUUGAAGACAUGACCUCUCUGGAAAGUGCCAAGCUCCGUGCUGCUGACAAGAACAUGGACACGACAGACGUGGACCCCGCUGGGGAAGGAGCGCGAUGCUGA